Molecule: ribosomal RNA, 600 nt
Filed under: Escherichia coli
Lineage: Bacteria; Pseudomonadati; Pseudomonadota; Gammaproteobacteria; Enterobacterales; Enterobacteriaceae
Also listed under: 1 other name
Description: bacterial SSU rRNA
Rfam family: Bacterial small subunit ribosomal RNA
Source: RNAcentral
AGACCAAAGAGGGGGACCUUCGGGCCUCUUGCCAUCGGAUGUGCCCAGAUGGGAUUAGCUAGUAGGUGGGGUAACGGCUCACCUAGGCGACGAUCCCUAGCUGGUCUGAGAGGAUGACCAGCCACACUGGAACUGAGACACGGUCCAGACUCCUACGGGAGGCAGCAGUGGGGAAUAUUGCACAAUGGGCGCAAGCCUGAUGCAGCCAUGCCGCGUGUAUGAAGAAGGCCUUCGGGUUGUAAAGUACUUUCAGCGGGGAGGAAGGGAGUAAAGUUAAUACCUUUGCUCAUUGACGUUACCCGCAGAAGAAGCACCGGCUAACUCCGUGCCAGCAGCCGCGGUAAUACGGAGGGUGCAAGCGUUAAUCGGAAUUACUGGGCGUAAAGCGCACGCAGGCGGUUUGUUAAGUCAGAUGUGAAAUCCCCGGGCUCAACCUGGGAACUGCAUCUGAUACUGGCAAGCUUGAGUCUCGUAGAGGGGGGUAGAAUUCCAGGUGUAGCGGUGAAAUGCGUAGAGAUCUGGAGGAAUACCGGUGGCGAAGGCGGCCCCCUGGACGAAGACUGACGCUCAGGUGCGAAAGCGUGGGGAGCAAACAGGAUU